AGAAAGAGAGUAAGAGGAGAGAGAAGCUCUGAAGGUGAAAGCCCAAGAAGGUGUUCUUGAGCUAUGAAGGUCCAUCUUCUUCCUUCUUCUCCCUUUCAGCCAACCUUCUGCCUCCCUGCGAGCUAGCACUCCCCGGAAAGCUGAUCAUUCCGGAGCUUCGCGUGGACGAGUCAUCGAGGCUGGACGCUUGUGCGGCUGCAAAGCAUCCUUGAAGGAACCUCCUUCUAAAGGUAAGAGAUAUGAUCUCUUUUACGGUUGAGAUAUGAUCUCAAUCUUCAAAUCACAAGAAGUUGUGAUUUAUGCAUAUUUAUUUGAAUCACACAAUCCUCGGGAUCUGAGGGCUUUGUGAUAUUUGGUGUCAAAGCAAAGGAUUAGUGGAGACUAUCCGAUUUCCGAAAACUCUCACGCGUGAUCGUGUGACGAAGCGUGGCUCUCCA
RNAcentral lists this long non-coding RNA (437 nucleotides) under Phoenix dactylifera (date palm). Its description in RNAcentral is "long non-coding RNA (PDAC_LNC018422)". Lineage: Eukaryota; Viridiplantae; Streptophyta; Magnoliopsida; Arecales; Arecaceae. The record is from RNAcentral.